Molecule: RNA transcript, 693 nt
Organism: Sapajus apella (tufted capuchin)
Lineage: Eukaryota; Metazoa; Chordata; Mammalia; Primates; Cebidae
Gene name: 60S ribosomal protein L6 pseudogene
Exons: 1
Source: RefSeq, a predicted model, not a curated record
UACCUCACAGGGGGACACAAGUGGAUCCAUGUAGUAGGCCUCCUGACUUCAUCUUUCUUCCCUGCAUAAAUAUCAUUCAUUUGACCAUUUUAUAUGGCACCAUAUGCUGGAGCAAUGACAACAUUUGAUGAGUUAUUUUGAAAAAUUGAAACUCCAAGAUUAAUGCUGUUAAGAAUCAGCCCAACCUUAGUUCUCUUUCCCAUCUUGCAAGAUGGCGGUGAAAACGUUGAGAAGCUGGAUACUAAAGAGAAGAAACCUGAAGCUAAGAAGGCUGAUGCUGGUGGCAAAGUGAAAAAGGGUAACCUCAAGGCUAAAAAGCCCAAGAAGGGGAAGCCCCAUUGCAGCCACAAUCCUGUCCUUGUCAGAGGAAUUGGCAGGUACUCCCGAUCUGCCAUGUAUUCCAGAAAGGCCAUGUACAAGAGGAAGUACUCAGCUGCUAAAUCCAAGGUUGAAAAGAAAAAGAAGAAGAAGUUUCUUGCAACUGUUACAAAACCAGUUGGUGGUGACAAGAAUUGCGGUACCGGGUGGUUAAACUUCGCAAAAUGCCUGAGUAUUAUCCUACUGAAGAUGUGCCUCGAAAGCUGUUGAGCCAUGGCAAAAAACCCUUCAGUCGGUACGUGAGCAAACUGUGAACCAGCAUUACCCCCGGGACCAUUCUGAUCAUCCUCACUGGGCACAGCAGGAGCAAGAAGG